CUUAACACAUGCAAGUCGAACGUUGUUUUCGGGGAGCUGGGCAGAAGGAAAAGAGGCUUUUAGCUAAAGGUAGCUUGUCUCGCCCAGGAGGUGAGAAGAGUUGAGAACAAAGUGGCGAACGGGUGCGUAACGCGUGGGAAUUUGCCGAACAGUUCGGGCCAAAUCCUGAAGAAAGCUAAAAAGCGCUGUUUGAUGAGCCUGCGUAGUAUUAGGUAGUUAGUCAGGUAAAGGCUGACCAAGCCUAUAAUUUGGGAAAAAAUAAGAGAGAUACGGCGGCAAAACACUACAUAAUGAUUCAAGGGGUGCG
RNAcentral lists this non-coding RNA (307 nucleotides) under Helianthus annuus (common sunflower). RNAcentral's name for it is "sRNA HanXRQr2_Chr13g0594241". It matches the Rfam family "Bacterial small subunit ribosomal RNA", at positions 47 to 337 of the family's 1533-position model. Lineage: Eukaryota; Viridiplantae; Streptophyta; Magnoliopsida; Asterales; Asteraceae. The record is from Rfam by way of RNAcentral.